This 433-nucleotide ribosomal RNA is filed under the name uncultured bacterium. RNAcentral's name for it is "partial 16S ribosomal RNA". It matches the Rfam family "Bacterial small subunit ribosomal RNA", at positions 29 to 507 of the family's 1533-position model. The record is from RNAcentral.
AACGAACGCUGGCGGCAUGCCUAACACAUGCAAGUCGAACGAGACCUUCGGGUCUAGUGGCGCACGGGUGCGUAACGCGUGGGAACCUGCCCUUAGGUUCGGAAUAACUCCCCGAAUGGGGUGCUAAUACCGGAUAAUGUCUUCGGACCAAAGAUUUAUCGCCUUUGGAUGGGCCCGCGUUGGAUUAGCUAGUUGGUAGGGUAAAAGCCUACCAAGGCGACGAUCCAUAGCUGGUCUGAGAGGAUGAUCAGCCACACUGGGACUGAGACACGGCCCAGACUCCUACGGGAGGCAGCAGUGGGGAAUAUUGGACAAUGGGCGAAAGCAUGAUCCAGCAAUGCCGCGUGAGUGAUGAAGGCCUUAGGGUUGUAAAGCUCUUUUACCCGGGAUGAUAAUGACAGUACCGGGAGAAUAAGCUCCGGCUAACUCCGUG